This is a long non-coding RNA of Ctenopharyngodon idella (grass carp), 3544 nucleotides long. RefSeq lists it as uncharacterized. The record is from RefSeq and is a predicted model, not a curated record. NCBI's taxonomy places the organism in Eukaryota, Metazoa, Chordata, Actinopteri, Cypriniformes, Xenocyprididae. The transcript is spliced from 2 exons.
UGCAGUGCAUUGUGGGAUUGAAUGAGUGUGCCCGAUAAUGUUCACUAUUGUUGUGGACACAACUACAAAUCAGGGUGUCACAGAAUGGCUGUAUAAAUGAAGCACAAAACGAAGGAUAAUUCCAGGAAAUCUUUUAAUCCAAACACUCAAGGAACAGGCAUAGAAACUCGGAAAACAACCAUCCAACAUAGAUGAGACAGGACAAAGAGCUGAGCCAAACAGGGAGUAUAUAAACAAGACCAAACGAGGAACUCAUUGAGCUAAUUAACGAGCAACAGGUGAAUGAGAUGAAACAAUGGGAAAGCUGGGUCAACUGAAGAUGAGCAAACGGAAGGUGAACACAAAGACAAAACAGAACAAAUUCAUAUAUUUUUUAUACAGCUCUUUGCAAUACUCAAUACUGAUUCUUCAAUUGCAUCAUCUAGCGGUCUGUUAUUACACAACAACAAAUGCUACAACUGAUAACAGGCCACUCAAGCAGGUACUGCAAGUCAUCUUGAGCUUGUUUAGAGGACAUCAAGGCUUGGAUGGAGAAUAAAUUCCUGAAACUAAAUCAGAAAAGACUGGAGUUAUGUUGUUUGGCCCUUCGCACCUUUUAAAUAAUUUAAGACCUACCCUGGGCCCCCUUCAAGAAAAACAUUCAUGAUAAAGUUAAAAAUCUGGGAGUUACCCUUGAUCCUAAAUUAAAAUUUGACAAACAAAUCAAUUCUGUAGUUAGAGCCAGUUUUCUGCAGCUUAGGCGACUUCGCAAGGUUAAAAAUGAUCUGAGUUUUAGUGAUUUGAAGACUGUUAUCCAUGCAUUCAUCUCAACCAGUCUGGACUAUUGUAACACUCUAUACACUGGAAUCAAUCAGUCCUCGCUCUCGCGCCUACAACAGGUACAGAAUGCCGUGGCACAUUUUUAACAGGGACAAAAAAGAGGGAAAAUAACGCCCAUGUUAGAAUCACUUCAUUGGUUACCUGUUCAACUCAGAGUUGAUUUGAAGGUUUUACUAUUUGUAUUCAAAGCACUUCAGGGUUUUGCCCCUACUUAUAUUUCAGAUCUUCUUCAUUCCUACUCUCCCGAGAGAAUGCUCAGAUCCUCCACCCAGUUGUUAUUAAUCGUUCCAAAAUAUUUUUUCCAUUAGAUCAUCCCCUACGCUAUCCACAUUUAAAUCAUCUCUCAAAACAUUUUUUCCCCCUCAGGUGUAUGCUUAAUCUGAGAACACCUUUAGUUUAAAUUACAUUUUAUCUGUUUGGUGGUGUUUUAUAUUAAUUCAGUUUUUUUUUUUUUUCUUUUGAUAUAUUUUAUUAGUAUUUAAAUUUUAUUGUAUGAUGUUGUUUCGUUUUGUCUGUUGUGCAGCACUUUGGUCAGCAUUCAUGUUGUGUUAAGGUGCUAUAUAAAUAAACUUGACCUUGACUUGACCUUAACAAUCUUCUGACUACACACUAUCCCUUAGCCUUGCCACACCCCCUUUUUAUAACUCCAGUCCUGGAACCCCUGCACCAUAUUGGCAUCCAAAAUCGUUUUGCAAUUCUUCACUGAAGAGUAAGUCUAUUGCUCAUCAAAUUUCUUUUUUGUUAAAAAAACUUUAAAAAACUUUACUGUAUGUGUUUAAUUUAAAGGUUGUUUGAUAAAGGUAUUGCAUUUAAAGUUAUUCCUUCUAAAUUACCGAAUAGUACUUUUGGCAAAUAUGAUAAAAAUGAUGUACACUCACUAGAACUUUUUCAAGAAAAAGCCAGGCUUUUUUAAAUAGAUUUUUGAUAGCAUCUUUAAUAGAAUCAUUUUUGACAGGAAUGAAAACGAGGCUGUGAGUAAUGGAUUUGUACAACAUGCCAAUGGUUUAGCUGACAAUACAUCUCCAAAGAAACUUUCAGUAGACUAAAUUCCAUAAAAGAGUUUUGAAAAUUCCAUGAUCUAGUACCUUUAUACAGUAUGUAUUAUUGUAAAGACUGUAGUCUUUCCUUUGAAAAAUUCAAUAUGGCGUCUGCCCUGACUAGGGUCUAUUGUCAGCUACAUUAUUGUAUUCAUUAUUUUAAAGGGGUCAUGAACAGUGUUUGUUUUUGUUUUAUGAUGUUUCCUGGGGUUCACUUAUAAUGUUAGUAUGAUUUUUACAUCAAAAAUUGUCAUAAUUUAAAAAUACAGGGCAUUUUUCCUACGCUGAUUUUAGCCCUCUUAUUUGAACUCUGUUUUAAGGGGGCGUGUCUGCUGUGAGACUUCAGUGUAAACGCCCACUGCUGUGAUUGGCUGACAUCUUUCCAUUUAAAGUAGCUAAGUACUACUCUUUCAAAAACGUUUAGCAAGUUUUUACUAUUACAGCUCUCAAGGUUAACUAAUCGUGAAAAGUGUUGAUUAUAGCAUUACAUUUAGAUCUGUGGCAUUAUAUUUAGAUCGUGGCAUGAAAGGUUGCAGUGAUGAACAGUGUAGCCGAUCACAGACAUGUUGUUGAUCUCGUCAUUCCAACUCAAUUUCUGCACACUAACGAAUGCUUCCAUCAUAACUGACAGUGCAAACUCGAUGUAACUAAGAGAUUCGUUGAAUAAAACGGGAGUUUUGGUGAGAGUCCAGAACUCAGUCACUGAUAAACUCACACUGUUUGAUUGACAGCUAUAGCGACUGAAAAGGGAGCGUUCUUUGAUCACUUUCUUUCUAUAAUUUAAUCACCGUUUAAAUAACAGAUUAUUUUCAUCCUACUAAGAGAAACAAUGUGAAGUUGAGCGUUUAGUCACUGGUUUGAUUUACUGACACACAAAGAACAUCUGACUGUACAUGAAUCAUUACAUAUCAGAUCAGGCAUUAGAAUUAACAGUUACUUACAUGUUGUUGCAUUACUGUCGAGUCCAUAUCUUAAACGUCUGUUUGCAAAGCCUGCGCCGAAAUGUGAUUGAUUAACCAAAGAGUCCACAGUGAAAUGUACCGAAUACAAAUAAAGCUCAACUGAGACAUUCACAUUGUUGAAAAUAAAUAAUCAUAUUCCAAGCAUUAGGAUCCUUUGAAAGUUAAUGUUAUUUUAGUCCUGUAUCGCUCUUCUCUCCUCAUCAUCUCACUAACACACCAGUGGGCGGGGCUAAUUUUGCAAUGAUGAAGUAGGCGUUGAUUUCUUCGGUGGAGGCGGAGUUUCGCCUAUCUCUAAUGAUAGGCACAUUCCAGGAUCAAUCUCGCUAGACCUGGUGUCAAUAAAAGCUUUUAUUGGACUAACAAGGAAGUUUUCAGGAACUUACAAGAUAAUCUUAUAGUACGAUGACCUCUUAUAUAUCAAAAGCUCAAGGAAAAGUUGAUUUCCCAAUUCAUGACCCCUUUAAAUAGUGCUUGUGAAUUCUUACAUUGUUGAGCACAGUAUGUUCUUAACCCUUAAAUGCACAUUUCAGGUCUUUAUCAACCCGGGAUGUCAUUCACUACUCUCCUAAAGUUAGAUAUCAACUUUCUUAGUUUUCCUCAAUCAAAUCAUUAUAAACAAUAUGACAAGAAAAAAUAAUACAAUUUAAAAAGAAUGUCUGUUUCCUAAUUUUGGUCAAUAAUGACCCAAGGUAUGUAAUAGUGUGUGUGUGUGUGUAUAUAUGUAUA